RNAcentral lists this small RNA (148 nucleotides) under Macaca mulatta (Rhesus monkey). RNAcentral's name for it is "Metazoan signal recognition particle RNA (ENSMMUG00000049978.1)". Lineage: Eukaryota; Metazoa; Chordata; Mammalia; Primates; Cercopithecidae. The record is from Rfam by way of RNAcentral.
GCUGGGUAUGGUGAUGCAUGCCUGUAGUCCCAGCUACUCAGGAGGUUGAGGCAGGAGAAUCGCUUGAACCCAGGAGGUGGAGGUUGCAGUGAGCCGAGAUCACGCCACUGCACUCCAGCCUGGGUGACAGAGUGAGACUCUGUCUCAA